This is a long non-coding RNA of Etheostoma spectabile (orangethroat darter), 388 nucleotides long. RefSeq lists it as uncharacterized. The transcript has 3 exons. The record is from RefSeq and is a predicted model, not a curated record. NCBI's taxonomy places the organism in Eukaryota, Metazoa, Chordata, Actinopteri, Perciformes, Percidae.
GGAAUUCAUUUUCUACCGAAUCGAACCCUACUCUUGCGCUAUGCUGGUCAACGUAAUGACGCCGCCGUUGAUUACAGUAAGGUGUUUACAUAGUUGCAGCGUUCAAUGUAUUAGACUGUGAGAAAGUGAACAUGGAACUUGUGAGCAGAAAAAGUAUUGUUUGGCAGUACUUUCAGUCAAAAGAAGGCCAUUCAAGUCCCGCUACAUGUUCAAUUUGCAAAGCCGAUUUGUCUUGUGGUGGCAACCCUAAGGACCCUACACAAUACACAUCAUUGCUGCUGUUAAAACAUUUGCGUAUGAAACAUCCGAAAGAAUACGAGUUGUGCAUGAAGGAAUCUACAGACAGAAGACAAAAUGCAACAACUUCAGGUAAAGAAAAUAGAUGUUG